CUAACCGCCAGAAUUCACCACAAGCCUCGAUACUGCAAUUGCACCAACUUCUCCUCCUACAAGCUUCUUGAACCAGAAAAUCUUUUCUGAUGUAGAAGAUCAGCCAAAGCUGCGACUACAGAGCAUACUAAGAUUCCUUCCUCAAGCUAGGCGACCUCGCUUUGAUACAACUUGCUGGGAAAAAAGAAAUGACCCUUUUCCGUAAACCCCGAGAUAUCCGCCCCUUUUGUAAAGAGAAAAAAAUGAGAAAUAAAAACAACACAAGAAUUUAACG
This 274-nucleotide long non-coding RNA is filed under the name Nicotiana benthamiana. RNAcentral describes it as "long non-coding RNA (NBEN_LNC019192)". Lineage: Eukaryota; Viridiplantae; Streptophyta; Magnoliopsida; Solanales; Solanaceae. The record is from RNAcentral.